This is a long non-coding RNA of Mastomys coucha (southern multimammate mouse), 442 nucleotides long. RefSeq lists it as uncharacterized. NCBI's taxonomy places the organism in Eukaryota, Metazoa, Chordata, Mammalia, Rodentia, Muridae. The record is from RefSeq and is a predicted model, not a curated record. The transcript is spliced from 2 exons.
ACCCGCAAGUGCCGUUGACAGAGUGCAGGCGGGAAGCUACGGCUUGGGUAGAGAUGUAGCAUCGAACUUUUACGGAUGUCCAGGCAGCACGGGCACACAGGCUGCUGGCCAGAGGUUCUGGGAAGGUACAGGCGGGAGCCCGACGAGGACGCACCUUACUCUGUCUUGGAAAGGGGACUGCUCACAGUGCUGCUGGACUCUUUAAGUCCUGAGGUCAUGUGAACAGAAGUUUGCCAUGGGCCCAUCUGUCUUCCAUUGGCUGUCCACAAGAUGGAGAAGGCGGAAGCAACCUGAGGAGUCCUCUUUGUCUGUAAGGAUAGAGGGUCCAUUGUGGAAGGGAGAGAUACAGGAACUAUAUAGGCGAGGCCCUACGGGCCCUGCAUCUCUUAUCUCCAGAAUUCUUUUACAGAAAAGAAAAAAAAUAAACUUUUAUCUUAAGCCA